UACAGAGGGUGCAAGCGUUGUUCGGAAUUAUUGGGCGUAAAGCGCGUGUAGGCGGCUUUGCAAGUCUGGUGUGAAAGCCCUCAGCUCAACUGAGGAAGUGCGCCCGAAACUGCAGAGCUUGAGUACCGGAGAGGAUGGUGGAAUUCCCCAAGUAGAGGUGAAAUUCGUAGAUAUGGGGAGGAACACCGGUGGCGAAGGCGACCAUCUGGACGGAUACUGACGCUGAGACGCGAAAGCGUGGGUAGCAAACAGG
This 253-nucleotide ribosomal RNA is filed under the name uncultured bacterium. RNAcentral's name for it is "partial 16S ribosomal RNA". It matches the Rfam family "Bacterial small subunit ribosomal RNA", at positions 524 to 776 of the family's 1533-position model. The record is from RNAcentral.